Homo sapiens (human) is the source of this 679-nucleotide long non-coding RNA. The record is from Ensembl. Lineage: Eukaryota; Metazoa; Chordata; Mammalia; Primates; Hominidae.
CAAGACCCAGUCUCGAGGAAAAAAAAAAAAUUAGAAGAGUAAUACCAGCAGUAAGGGAAAUCGAAGCACAUACUAUCUGCUUGUAUUAAUGUAUUCAUCCCCCAGCAGCAGUGUGCAAGAGGACAGUAAGGGUGGAGGUGUGGAUGCUUAACCCAGUCUUUUUGCACCCAUAGCCUCUUCAAGUUCCUUCAAAAUUUUGCCUGGGUGGCUUCAGCUGAAAGCAGAAAUGGCAGGAAGUAAUUGGGGGAGAUUCCCAAAUCUAUGCCCAACUGGGAAUCAAAUUUUUCUCUUGCCAAGAGAUGAGCUGAGGGCGACCACGGAACGGAUCAGCGAGGCCAAGUACACUACCACCAUCUGGUCAUUGGUCUUCAGGUAAAAGGCCUUGACGAACUCCUGCAGGCUGACAUCUGGCAGCAGGUUGAAGACGUCCUGCAGCUGGUAGAUGAUCUGGUGGUUGAUGGGCAGCUUGCCUGUGGCGACUUUUUCCAGGUAGCUCCUGAUAUCCAGAAGCUUGGAGUUCAGUCCCUUCAAACCAUGGACCUGGUUUGUGAUCCGCUGGGACAGAGUGCCCACCGUCGUGUCUUUGAUAUCUCUGUAAUAACCCACAGUUAAAAAGGGCAGGAAAAGGCAUCAGGGUACCAUGUUAUCAGGCAAGUUCUUACAUUCUAAGAAAAUUCCU